Molecule: ribosomal RNA, 464 nt
Filed under: uncultured bacterium
Lineage: Bacteria
Description: partial 16S ribosomal RNA
Rfam family: Bacterial small subunit ribosomal RNA
Source: RNAcentral
CUACGGGCCGCAGCAGUGGGGAAUAUUGCACAAUGGGCGCAAGCCUGGUGCAGCCAUGCCGCGUGUAUGAAGAAGGCCUUCGGGUUGUAAAGUACUUUCAGCGGGGAGGAAGGGAGUAAAGUUAAUACCUUUGCUCAUUGACGUUACCCGCAGAAGAAGCACCGGCCAACUCCGUGCCAGCAGCCGCGGUAAUACGGAGGGUGCAAGCGUUAAUCGGAAUUACUGGGCGUAAGGCGCACGCAGGCGGUUUGUUAAGUCAGAUGUGAAAUCCCCGGGCUCAACCUGGGAACUGCAUCUGAUACUGGCAAGCUUGAGUCUCGUAGAGGGGGGUAGAAUUCCAGGUGUAGCGGUGAAAUGUGUAGAGAUCUGGAGGAAUACCGGUGGCGAAGGCGGCCCCCUGGACGAAGACUGACGCUCAGGUGCGAAAGCGUGGGGAGCAAACAGGAUUAGAUACCCGGGUAGUC